RNAcentral lists this ribosomal RNA (900 nucleotides) under Rhodotus palmatus. RNAcentral describes it as "eukaryotic LSU rRNA". It matches the Rfam family "Eukaryotic large subunit ribosomal RNA", at positions 22 to 911 of the family's 3401-position model. Lineage: Eukaryota; Fungi; Basidiomycota; Agaricomycetes; Agaricales; Physalacriaceae. The record is from RNAcentral.
UACCCGCUGAACUUAAGCAUAUCAAUAAGCGGAGGAAAAGAAACUAACAAGGAUUCCCCUAGUAACUGCGAGUGAAGAGGGAAGAGCUCAAAUUUAAAAUCUGGCAGCUUCGCUGUCCGAGUUGUAAUUUAGAGAAGCGAUGCCCGUGCUGGACCGUGUACAAGUCUCCUGGAAUGGAGCGUCAUAGAGGGUGAGAAUCCCGUCUUUGACACGGACUCCCAGUGCAUUGUGGUACGCUCUCAAAGAGUCGUGUUGUUUGGGAAUGCAGCACUAAAUGGGUGGUAAAUUCCAUCUAAAGCUAAAUAUUGGCGAGAGACCGAUAGCAAACAAGUACCGUGAGGGAAAGAUGAAAAGAACUUUGGAAAGAGAGUUAAACAGUACGUGAAAUUGUUGAAAGGGAAACGCUUAAAGUCCAGUCGCGUCUUCUGGGAAUCAGUCUUGCUUCUGCAUGAUGUACUUUCUAGUCGACGGGUCAGCAUCAGUUUUGACCGGUGGACAAGAGUUGGAGGAAUGUGGCACCCUCGGGUGUGUUAUAGCCUCUGAUUGUAUACGCCGGUUGGGACUGAGGAACUCAGCACGCCGCAAGGCCGGGUCUUUUGACCACGUUCGUGCUUAGGAUGCUGGCAUAAUGGCUUUAAUCGACCCGUCUUGAAACACGGACCAAGGAGUCUAACAUGCCUGCGAGUAUUUGGGUGGAAAACCCGAGUGCGUAAUGAAAGUGAAAGUUGAGAACUCUCUAGAGUGCAUCGACGCCCGGACCAGAUGUUUUCUGACGGAUCCGCGGUAGAGCAUGUAUGUUGGGACCCGAAAGAUGGUGAACUAUGCCUGAAUAGGGUGAAGCCAGAGGAAACUCUGGUGGAGGCUCGUAGCGAUUCUGACGUGCAAWUCGAUCGUCGAAUU